Molecule: ribosomal RNA, 530 nt
Filed under: Phomopsis sp. A6
Lineage: Eukaryota; Fungi; Ascomycota; Sordariomycetes; Diaporthales; Diaporthaceae
Description: eukaryotic LSU rRNA
Rfam family: 5.8S ribosomal RNA (bases 156-309)
Source: RNAcentral
GCGCACCAGAACCCUUUGUGAACUUAUACCUUACUGUUGCCUCGGCGCUAGCUGGUCCUCCGGGGCCCCUCCUUCUGGAGGAGCAGGCACGCCGGCGGCCAACCCAACUCUUGUUUUUACACUGAAACUCUGAGUACAAAACAUAAAUGAAUCAAAACUUUCAACAACGGAUCUCUUGGUUCUGGCAUCGAUGAAGAACGCAGCGAAAUGCGAUAAGUAAUGUGAAUUGCAGAAUUCAGUGAAUCAUCGAAUCUUUGAACGCACAUUGCGCCCUCUGGUAUUCCGGAGGGCAUGCCUGUUCGAGCGUCAUUUCAACCCUCAAGCCUGGCUUGGUGAUGGGGCACUGCCUGUAAAAGGGCAGGCCCUGAAAUUCAGUGGCGAGCUCGCCAGGACCCCGAGCGCAGUAGUUAAACCCUCGCUUUGGAAGGCCCUGGCGGUGCCCUGCCGUUAAACCCCCAACUUUUGAAAAUUUGACCUCGGAUCAGGUAGGAAUACCCGCUGAACUUAAGCAUAUCAAUAAGGCGGAGGAA